RNAcentral lists this ribosomal RNA (648 nucleotides) under Shigella sonnei. RNAcentral describes it as "partial 23S ribosomal RNA". It matches the Rfam family "Bacterial large subunit ribosomal RNA", at positions 1233 to 1865 of the family's 2925-position model. The record is from RNAcentral. Lineage: Bacteria; Pseudomonadati; Pseudomonadota; Gammaproteobacteria; Enterobacterales; Enterobacteriaceae.
GGAGCGUUCUGUAAGCCUGCGAAGGUGUGCUGUGAGGCAUGCUGGAGGUAUCAGAAGUGCGAAUGCUGACAUAAGUAACGAUAAAGCGGGUGAAAAGCCCGCUCGCCGGAAGACCAAGGGUUCCUGUCCAACGUUAAUCGGGGCAGGGUGAGUCGACCCCUAAGGCGAGGCCGAAAGGCGUAGUCGAUGGGAAACAGGUUAAUAUUCCUGUACUUGGUGUUACUGCGAAGGGGGGACGGAGAAGGCUAUGUUGGCCGGGCGACGGUUGUCCCGGUUUAAGCGUGUAGGCUGGUUUUCCAGGCAAAUCCGGAAAAUCAAGGCUGAGGCGUGAUGACGAGGCACUACGGUGCUGAAGCAACAAAUGCCCUGCUUCCAGGAAAAGCCUCUAAGCAUCAGGUAACAUCAAAUCGUACCCCAAACCGACACAGGUGGUCAGGUAGAGAAUACCAAGGCGCUUGAGAGAACUCGGGUGAAGGAACUAGGCAAAAUGGUGCCGUAACUUCGGGAGAAGGCACGCUGAUAUGUAGGUGAAGUCCCUUGCGGAUGGAGCUGAAAUCAGUCGAAGAUACCAGCUGGCUGCAACUGUUUAUUAAAAACACAGCACUGUGCAAACACGAAAGUGGACGUAUACGGUGUGACGCCUGCCCG